This 483-nucleotide ribosomal RNA is filed under the name uncultured bacterium. Its description in RNAcentral is "partial 16S ribosomal RNA". It matches the Rfam family "Bacterial small subunit ribosomal RNA", at positions 30 to 506 of the family's 1533-position model. The record is from RNAcentral.
AUUGAACGCUGGCGGCAGGCCUAACAUAUGCAAGUCGAGCGGAUGAAGGGAGCUUGCUCCUGGAUUCAGCGGCGGACGGGUGAGUAAUGCCUAGGAAUCUGCCUGGUAGUGGGGGAUAACGUCCGGAAACGGGCGCUAAUACCGCAUACGUCCUGAGGGAGAAAGUGGGGGAUCUUCGGACCUCACGCUAUCAGAUGAGCCUAGGUCGGAUUAGCUAGUUGGUGGGGUAAAGGCCUACCAAGGCGACGAUCCGUAACUGGUCUGAGAGGAUGAUCAGUCACACUGGAACUGAGACACGGUCCAGACUCCUACGGGAGGCAGCAGUGGGGAAUAUUGGACAAUGGGCGAAAGCCUGAUCCAGCCAUGCCGCGUGUGUGAAGAAGGUCUUCGGAUUGUAAAGCACUUUAAGUUGGGAGGAAGGGCAGUAAGUUAAUACCUUGCUGUUUUGACGUUACCAACAGAAUAAGCACCGGCUAACUUCGU